CACGCCACGGUAAUACGUAGGGUGCAAGCGUUAAUCGGAAUUACUGGGCGUAAAGCGUGCGCAGGCGGUUAUAUAAGACAGAUGUGAAAUCCCCGGGCUCAACCUGGGAACUGCAUUUGUGACUGUAUAGCUAGAGUACGGCAGAGGGGGAUGGAAUUCCGCGUGUAGCAGUGAAAUGCGUAGAUAUGCGGAGGAACACCGAUGGCGAAGGCAAUCCCCUGGGCCUGUACUGACGCUCAUGCACGAAAGCGUGGGGAGCAAACAGGAUUAGAUACCCCUGUAGUCCCUGUCUCUUAUACAC
Molecule: ribosomal RNA, 301 nt
Filed under: uncultured bacterium
Lineage: Bacteria
Description: partial 16S ribosomal RNA
Rfam family: Bacterial small subunit ribosomal RNA
Source: RNAcentral